CGGGGGGGUGCCUAAUACAUGCAGUCGAACGAAACUUUCUUACACCGAAUGCUUGCAUUCACCGUAAGAAGUUGAGUGGCGGACGGGUGAGUAACACGUGGGUAACCUGCCUAAAAGAAGGGGAUAACACUUGGAAACAGGUGCUAAUACCGUAUAUCUCUAAGGAUCGCAUGAUCCUUAGAUGAAAGAUGGUUCUGCUAUCGCUUUUAGAUGGACCCGCGGCGUAUUAACUAGUUGGUGGGGUAACGGCCUACCAAGGUGAUGAUACGUAGCCGAACUGAGAGGUUGAUCGGCCACAUUGGGACUGAGACACGGCCCAAACUCCUACGGGAGGCAGCAGUAGGGAAUCUUCCACAAUGGACGCAAGUCUGAUGGAGCAACGCCGCGUGAGUGAAGAAGGUCUUCGGAUCGUAAAACUCUGUUGUUAGAGAAGAACACGAGUGAGAGUAACUGUUCAUUCGAUGACGGUAUCUAACCAGCAAGUCACGGCUAACUACGUGCCAGCAGCCGCGGUAAUACGUAGGUGGCAAGCGUUGUCCGGAUUUAUUGGGCGUAAAGGGAACGCAGGCGGUCUUUUAAGUCUGAUGUGAAAGCCUUCGGCUUAACCGGAGUAGUGCAUUGGAAACUGGAAGACUUGAGUGCAGAAGAGGAGAGUGGAACUCCAUGUGUAGCGGUGAAAUGCGUAGAUAUAUGGAAGAACACCAGUGGCGAAAGCGGCUCUCUGGUCUGUAACUGACGCUGAGGUUCGAAAGCGUGGGUAGCAAACAGGAUUAGAUACCCUGGUAGUCCACGCCGUAAACGAUGAAUGCUAGGUGUUGGAGGGUUUCCGCCCUUCAGUGCCGCAGCUAACGCAAUAAGCAUUCCGCCUGGGGAGUACGACCGCAAGGUUGAAACUCAAAGGAAUUGACGGGGGCCCGCACAAGCGGUGGAGCAUGUGGUUUAAUUCGAAGCAACGCGAAGAACCUUACCAGGUCUUGACAUCCUUUGACCACCUAAGAGAUUAGGCUUUCCCUUCGGGGACAAAGUGACAGGUGGUGCAUGGCUGUCGUCAGCUCGUGUCGUGAGAUGUUGGGUUAAGUCCCGCAACGAGCGCAACCCUUGUUGUCAGUUGCCAGCAUUAAGUUGGGCACUCUGGCGAGACUGCCGGUGACAAACCGGAGGAAGGUGGGGACGACGUCAAGUCAUCAUGCCCCUUAUGACCUGGGCUACACACGUGCUACAAUGGACGGUACAACGAGUCGCGAGACCGCGAGGUUUAGCUAAUCUCUUAAAGCCGUUCUCAGUUCGGAUUGUAGGCUGCAACUCGCCUACAUGAAGUCGGAAUCGCUAGUAAUCGCGAAUCAGCAUGUCGCGGUGAAUACGUUCCCGGGCCUUGUACACACCGCCCGUCACACCAUGAGAGUUUGUAACACCCAAAGCCGGGGGGGUAACCGCAAGGGAAGCCGUGCCAUGUAUAAAGGGCGGACACAG
This 1470-nucleotide ribosomal RNA is filed under the name Ligilactobacillus salivarius. RNAcentral describes it as "bacterial SSU rRNA". It matches the Rfam family "Bacterial small subunit ribosomal RNA". Lineage: Bacteria; Bacillati; Bacillota; Bacilli; Lactobacillales; Lactobacillaceae. The record is from RNAcentral.